ACGGGAGGCAGCAGUGGGGAAUAUUGCACAAUGGGGGAAACCCUGAUGCAGCGACGCCGCGUGAGUGAAGAAGUAUUUCGGUAUGUAAAGCUCUAUCAGCAGGGAAGAAAAUGACGGUACCUGACUAAGAAGCCCCGGCUAACUACGUGCCAGCAGCCGCGGUAAUACGUAGGGGGCAAGCGUUAUCCGGAUUUACUGGGUGUAAAGGGAGCGUAGACGGCAUGACAAGUCUGAAGUGAAAUCCCCGGGCUCAACCCGGGAACUGCUUUGGAAACUGCCAAGCUAGAGUGCAGGAGGGGCAAGCGGAAUUCCUAGUGUAGCGGUGAAAUGCGUAGAUAUUAGGAGGAACACCAGUGGCGAAGGCGGCUUACUGGACUGUAACUGACGUUGAGGCUCGAAAGCGUGGGGAGCAAACAGGAUUAGAUACCCUGGUA
Molecule: ribosomal RNA, 434 nt
Filed under: uncultured Lachnospiraceae bacterium
Lineage: Bacteria; Bacillati; Bacillota; Clostridia; Lachnospirales; Lachnospiraceae
Description: partial 16S ribosomal RNA
Rfam family: Bacterial small subunit ribosomal RNA
Source: RNAcentral